RNAcentral lists this long non-coding RNA (493 nucleotides) under Spirodela polyrhiza (greater duckweed). RNAcentral describes it as "long non-coding RNA (SPOL_LNC001342)". The record is from RNAcentral. Lineage: Eukaryota; Viridiplantae; Streptophyta; Magnoliopsida; Alismatales; Araceae.
AUAUGGUGACAUUGGGACGUCCCCGCUGUAUGUCUAUGCUAGCACCUUCAGUCAAGGGAUUGGCGAGGAAGAUGACAUCUUGGGCGUCCUGUCCCUGAUCAUCUACACGCUGAUCUUGAUACCGAUGCUGAAGUAUGUCUUCAUCGUGCUGCAGGCCAACGACCAUGGUGAUGGUGAGUCAAUGCAGCCAGAGUCAGUUCUGUGUUAAUUCUACGAUAAAAGUCCACCCAUAAAGCUUUGAUAAUUCUACGAGCAUGAUCUCAAUUACUUUGGUCGCUUCAAAGUUGGAUCGGUUUGGCAGCUGACAUGGGUAGAUAAAAAUCUUAGGAAAAUAGCAUAGCUUGCCAAAUCAUGUCAUGUACAGAGAAGGGUUCUACCAGCAGAAAAAAUUUCAUGAUUCUUACUCUUUCAGGUGGAAGCUUUGCCCUGUACUCUUUGAUAUGUCGCUAUGCCAGAGUGGGUCUGGUUCCUAAUCAGCAGGUGGAGGACAUGA